RNAcentral lists this ribosomal RNA (274 nucleotides) under uncultured bacterium. Its description in RNAcentral is "partial 16S ribosomal RNA". It matches the Rfam family "Bacterial small subunit ribosomal RNA", at positions 523 to 796 of the family's 1533-position model. The record is from RNAcentral.
AUACGGAGGGUGCAGGCGUUGUUCGGAAUAAUUGGGCGUAAAGAGCAUGUAGGCGGUUCGUUAAGCCUGAUGUUAAAGCCCGGGGCUCAACCCCGGAAGUGCAUUGGAUACUGGCAAACUUGAGUACGGGAGAGGAAAGUGGAAUUUCGAGUGUAGGGGUGAAAUCCGUAGAUAUUCGAAGGAACACCAGUGGCGAAGGCGGCUUUCUGGACCGAUACUGACGCUGAGAUGCGAAAGCGUGGGGAGCAAACAGGAUUAGAAACCCUAGUAGUCC